This 883-nucleotide long non-coding RNA is filed under the name Anas platyrhynchos platyrhynchos (common mallard). RNAcentral's name for it is "lncRNA (ENSAPLG00000019107.1)". The record is from RNAcentral. Lineage: Eukaryota; Metazoa; Chordata; Aves; Anseriformes; Anatidae.
AUGAGAGAGACCAAGCUCAGCGUGAGGCCAGAUGGAAACUACCACCCUGCUGCUCAAGACUUCCCUGGAUGUCAUUCCCUCCUCUCUCUGAAAUGCCAGCUCCGUCCCCGGGCUCUAACAGCGUUACUGAAACCUCCCCAGUGUUGCCAGAAUGUGCUGGAGGAGCCAGAUGAGCUGUCAACGAGUAGGUAUCAGGCAAACAGCCUUUGCACGGGGCAGUUGCACUUUUUUGGACAAGGAGGGCAGGCUGCGUGGAGGGCAGAGUCAGUGGCUGCUGUGAGGGCUGCAGGGGAGCUACGUGGGCUCUGCCCAGUCUUGCAACAGGGACCACGCACCGUGCCAAAGCCUUGUGUGCACAUGGGAAGGACUGCAGGUAUGAAAAGAACGUAGAGAUGUGGAGAAAAAAAAAAAAAAAGAAUUUAGGGAGCAGGAAUGCUGCAGACAUCCAACAACCCGUGGAAUCGAGGAGCUAGCCCUGGCUCGGUCCUGCAGGAUGCCCAGUCCCCAAGGACUGAGGUAGCAGCCAAGGCCGUGGCUGCUCCCCAGGGCCUCUCCCCGCCCCCUGAGCUCACUUGGGUGUCUUCAGCCCAGGAUCUCCCAGGGAGAAAUUUGGGGCCUUGCUCAGGAACAGAUGGUCUCCCUCGUGGGCCCCAUCUGCCAGGCAACACUGGAGCAGUUGCUCUCUGCAGUGCCGAGCAGAAUCUUGUUUACUUUCCCCUCGUGUCAGCAAGGUGAUGUGUAGGGAAACCAAGCCCUGCUGUUGCCAGCCCCGAUUUCCAGGAGCUGCAAGGUGCAAGAGCAAAACCCAAGAGACACCUCUGCGAGGGCCAGGCAACGUGGCAUCCACCAGCACAGAUCCAAGGUGGAGUCUGGCCAAGAAGAG